AGACACGCUGGCGGCGUGCUUAAUACAUGCAAGUCAACUUGACUUUAGAUAGCAAUAUCGAAAAGUAGGGUGGCGCACGGGUGCGUAACGCGUAGGUAAUCUGCCCUGAGGUCUGACAUAACCCGUCGAAAGGCGGGCUAACAUCAGAUGAUAUAUAAUCACGACAUCGUGGAAAUAUCAAAUCUUCGGAGCCUUGGGAUGAGCCUGCGUCUGAUUAGGUAGUUGGCGGAGUAAUAGCCCACCAAGCCUACGAUCAGUAGCUGGUCUGAGAGGAUGACCAGCCACACUGGAACUGAGACACGGUCCAGACUCCUACGGGAGGCAGCAGUAAGGAAUAUUGCUCAAUGGGGGAAACCCUGAAGCAGCAACGCCGCGUGAAGGAUGAAAUACUUUUGUAUGUAAACUUCUGUAAGAUGGGAAAAAUAUUCUCCUCGGGAGAAUUGAUUGUACCAUCAGAGUAAGCCCCGGCUAACUACGUG
RNAcentral lists this ribosomal RNA (479 nucleotides) under uncultured bacterium. RNAcentral's name for it is "bacterial SSU rRNA". It matches the Rfam family "Bacterial small subunit ribosomal RNA", at positions 33 to 507 of the family's 1533-position model. The record is from RNAcentral.